UCCCCUUUGGAGAUCACUGGAAACAGCUUCUGGACCACAAAUGGGGUGAACUACUGUAUCGAGAAAGGAGAGAGUAAGACUUGAGAGCUAUCUUUUUAGCUCAGGGUGCAGGACCUUCCACCACUGCACCAUAGCUAUCCACUUGGCACACAUUAAGUACUCAACAGAUAUUUGUUGGAUGGAUGGAUACAUGAAGAAAGGAGGAAUAGAGGAAUGAACAAAUGGGUAAAUCACUUUCCAAUUAGUGGAGGACUGGACUAAGAACUCAGUUAAGUGAAGCAAGCAAGAAUUUCCCAAGUGAUGCCAACUCAAAAUGAAUUAUAUCAAGAAAGGAAAAGCAGCUUUUUCAUCUGGAAAGAACUGGAGACCUUGAACCUAGGCAGCAUGUGCCUUGAACCUAGGAUCAGUAAACAACAAGGAUGGAAAAGACAGUAAGAAUUUGGUCAGAUCACCAUAUCUUUCCGUUGUGCCUUUAGAACAAAAGGAAAGAAAAUAUCUCUUUGGCUCACAGAGAAAAUAUGUUGAGAAAUGAAGUACAACCCCUCACUGUGCUGGGCACAGAGCAGGUGCUCGGUAAAUAAAUAGUGUACGUGUUCGCUGA
Molecule: long non-coding RNA, 601 nt
Organism: Homo sapiens (human)
Lineage: Eukaryota; Metazoa; Chordata; Mammalia; Primates; Hominidae
Gene: LAMA4-AS1
Product: LAMA4 antisense RNA 1
Source: Ensembl